UGUGGGAGCUGGCUUGCCUGCGAUAGCGCUGGGUCAGUUAACCGAUAUUUGACUGACCCAGCGCUAUCGCAGGCAAGCCAGCUCCCACA
This 89-nucleotide unclassified non-coding RNA is filed under the name Pseudomonas gessardii. The record is from RNAcentral. Lineage: Bacteria; Pseudomonadati; Pseudomonadota; Gammaproteobacteria; Pseudomonadales; Pseudomonadaceae.